UACAUUUGUUGGAUGGAGCAGAGCCC
Molecule: non-coding RNA, 26 nt
Filed under: Rattus norvegicus (Norway rat)
Lineage: Eukaryota; Metazoa; Chordata; Mammalia; Rodentia; Muridae
Source: RNAcentral